This 27-nucleotide small RNA is filed under the name Bombyx mori (domestic silkworm). Its description in RNAcentral is "ovarian small RNA-33424". The record is from RNAcentral. Lineage: Eukaryota; Metazoa; Arthropoda; Insecta; Lepidoptera; Bombycidae.
UGCAAUUAGUUUGCGUAACGCUAUGGU